RNAcentral lists this ribosomal RNA (498 nucleotides) under uncultured bacterium. RNAcentral describes it as "partial 16S ribosomal RNA". It matches the Rfam family "Bacterial small subunit ribosomal RNA", at positions 28 to 507 of the family's 1533-position model. The record is from RNAcentral.
GACGAACGCUGGCGGCGUGCCUAAUACAUGCAAGUCGAACGAGAGCGACCGGUGCUUGCACUGGUCAAUCUAGUGGCGAACGGGUGAGUAACACGUGGGUAACCUGCCCAUCAGAGGGGGAUAACAUCCGGAAACGGAUGCUAAAACCGCAUAGGUCUUCGAGCCGCAUGGCUUGAAGAGGAAAAGGGGCGCAAGCUUCUGCUGAUGGAUGGACCCGCGGUGCAUUAGCUAGUUGGUGAGGUAACGGCUCACCAAGGCCGUGAUGCAUAGCCGACCUGAGAGGGUGAUCGGCCACAUUGGGACUGAGACACGGCCCAAACUCCUACGGGAGGCAGCAGUAGGGAAUCUUCCGCAAUGGACGCAAGUCUGACGGAGCAACGCCGCGUGAGUGAAGAAGGUUUUCGGAUCGUAAAACUCUGUUGUUAGAGAAGAACAAGUGCUAGAGUAACUGUUAGCGCCUUGACGGUAUCUAACCAGAAAGCCACGGCUAACUACGUG